RNAcentral lists this ribosomal RNA (331 nucleotides) under uncultured Oscillospiraceae bacterium. RNAcentral describes it as "bacterial SSU rRNA". It matches the Rfam family "Bacterial small subunit ribosomal RNA", at positions 28 to 339 of the family's 1533-position model. Lineage: Bacteria; Bacillati; Bacillota; Clostridia; Eubacteriales; Oscillospiraceae. The record is from RNAcentral.
GAUGAACGCUGGCGGCAUGCCUAACACAUGCAAGUCGAACGAAGCACUGAAGAAUGGAGAUCCGUCAAAGUUCUUCUUUGACUGAGUGGCGAACGGGUGAGUAAUGCGUGAGCAACCUGCCCUUCAGAGGGGGACAACAGUUGGAAACGACUGCUAAUACCGCAUGAUGUGUUCGGAUGGCAUCAUCUGAACACCAAAGGAGAAAUCCGCUGAGGGAUGGGCUCACGUCUGAUUAGCUAGUUGGUAGGGUAACGGCCUACCAAGGCUGCGAUCAGUAGCCGGACUGAGAGGUUGAACGGCCACAUUGGGACUGAGAUACGGCCCAGACUCC